CUCUGCCUCUCUCUCGUGCUCGCUCCUCGCUCUUGUAUUUCAACUUCUGUGUGUGUGCGUGCGUCUCUCUCUCUGUCUCGCUGUGUAUAGCUUUUCCAUUGUUCAAUAUUGGUAUGAUGAUUGUUGUACGGGUUUAAUCUGUCCUGAUUUUUACAGCCUGGUUCUCCAGAGAGAGGGAGAUGGCCGGAGGUAGCCAUCACAAGGGUUCUUCUUCUUCUUCGCAAAAACCCUCCUCUUCCCACCGCAAGCCCCGGUGGGAGUCCACUGACAAGAAACCCUCCGCCGCCGGCGAAUCUCGGCCCCCGCCUCCCAAGCCCUCCUCCAAACCCACCCCUGACCGUCACCAAAACCCUAACCCUAAACCUGCUGGUCCUGCUCUCAGCCCCGCUUUCCCCAAUCCGCCGCCCGAUCCGUCCCGUUCGGUUCUUGACCCGAUGCAUCCUGGACCUCCGCCGCCCGCGUACGGGUUCCACAUGCUGGACCGGAGGACCAUCGUGCUGGCCGACAGCAGCGUGAGGUCAUACUUCGCCUUGCCGCCGGACUACCAGGACUUUGCUCGCCAGGUUCUGCCUCGCGGACCGGAAGUUCCCGGUUCAGGGCUAGGGUUCGACAGGCGGCUCGGUCCGAUGAGUCCCGAUUUUCGGGACCGCGAGUUCUGGAAUCCAGAGAAUUCAUUAAAGAGGAAGUACGGUGAUGAUGUCGAAUUAGCUAGACAUAGACAACAGCUUUUGCAGUAUGCGAAUGCGGGUUUGAAUCCGAAUGGGUAUCCGGUGAAUCCGGGUGAUAGGGGCGAGCUUCCGGCGGGAACCAGCGCCCAUUUUCCUCGGGACGGAUUGGAUUUAGGCCGAGGUGAUGAAUUUAGGGCAUCGAAGUAUAUGAGACUUGGUGGUGGCGGUGGUGAUGACCAUGUGGGUCUCAAGCACAAUGAUGUUGACCAGGGUGCCUUGAAAAGGGCCUUUUUGCAUUUUGUGAAGCUCAUUAAUGAGAAUGUCAAUCAGAAGAGGAAUUACUUGGAAAAUGGGAAGCAGGCUCCCCUUCAGUGCGUCAUCUGUGGCAGAUCAUCUAAAGAAUUUCCAGACAUGCAUAGUCUUAUCAUGCAUAUGUACAACCCAGACAAAGCUGAUUUGCUUGUGGAUCAUUUGGGCUUGCACAAAGCUCUGUGUGUUCUGAUGGGCUGGAAUUAUUUGAAAUCUCCUGAUAACUCAAAAGCAUAUCAGUUGCUGCCUCCUGAUGAAGCAGCGGCUAACCAGGAUGAUCUGAUUAUGUGGCCUCCUAUGGUGAUUAUUCUUAAUACAAACACGGGAAAGGGAAGAGAUGGCCGCCAAGAAGGUUUGGGAAACAAAGCAAUGGAUAAUAAACUUAGAGAGCUUGGAUUUGGGAGUGGCAAGGCAAUGUCUGUAUACGGAAGAGAGGGUCACCUUGGCAUUACUACGGUUAAGUUUGCUGGCGAUGAAUCAGGCUUAAAGGAGGCAAUGAGGCUUGCGGAGUUCUUUGAGAAAGAGAGCCGUGGCCGAAGGGCUUGGACCCGUGUACAGUCCUUAACAUCAGGUAUUGAUGAUGAGAAUAAUCCAAACCUUGUCAAGGUGGAUGAGAAGACUGGGGAGAAGCAGAGAAUCUUUUAUGGCUAUCUUGGAACUGCUUUUGAUUUGGACAAGUUGAAUUAUGAGAUGAAGAAGAAGGUUGUAAUUGAGAGCAGGAGGGAAUACAAGUCAUCCAAGUAGCGCCUAAGAGCAAAAACACUCUAGGAGACCAGUAAUUGGAUCCGUGCUCUUGUUUUUUCUACGGAACUUGAACUGUUUGCUUAUAUGCAUUAUGGAGUAGACAGAAAUUUGAAGGUAGGUUCUCACAAAGGUCUUAUGCUGCACUAACUAUAGAUAGUUGUCUCCCUUUGUCUUGGUCUCAGAUCCAGUAUCCUCAACCACAAAUACUCUACCAGCACACUUUUUCAUCUGAUUAAAUGUUACCUUGCAGACAGAUGCCUGUAUUUGUUA
Molecule: RNA transcript, 1991 nt
Organism: Diospyros lotus (date-plum)
Lineage: Eukaryota; Viridiplantae; Streptophyta; Magnoliopsida; Ericales; Ebenaceae
Exons: 4
Source: RefSeq, a predicted model, not a curated record